Molecule: long non-coding RNA, 782 nt
Organism: Pecten maximus
Lineage: Eukaryota; Metazoa; Mollusca; Bivalvia; Pectinida; Pectinidae
Exons: 2
Source: RefSeq, a predicted model, not a curated record
AUGGCGAAUGCUGUCGCGAUUCCUCCGGCAAACAUGGCGGGAACAGCGAUGAAGGAGAGCCAGGUCAGUAGUGCCAUACCAGAUAAACCAUGACCACUGUAACCAUGACAACAAUAAUGUAUCUACUGGUUAUAACAAUUAACACAAUAACUCAAAGAUGACGAAAGUUACAUUUAAACACUUCGUUGUUGUUUCGAUCUGGUAUUGUUCAUUGGCACCAUGUUUUGGUUUUGCUAGUAUGUGUUAUUUUGUAUCAGUCUACUCACAUUUAAUCAAAGGAGAACGUGAUAUGAACACAUAAGUGACAAAUUUAACCAUACCUCGUACACCCUGCUCCUAAACGAGCCCCAAACAGGAGUAAGAAGCCCCCAAAGAACGCCACCGGAAGUUGCGGUCCUUUACUAGUCGUCAGGGUAUCAGAGGCGACGCCGGAUAGACAGGCACCUACCACCACAAACGACACGAAGAAAACCUGCAAGAGAGAUCCUGCCAUCGUCAUCCCUAUUCCCAGAAUUACAGGGCCGAGGAUGCUGGUGAGGAUUCCUUUGUUUUGGAAACAACAAACGAAAUCAUGUAUGGCGUCGUCCAAAUACGAUCUAGCUUUCGGGAUAGCCGACAUCACGAGAAAGCAGAUCUGACCUGGAAUAGGAAGAACGUCUUUAUAAAGGAUAUAUUGAUAAAUGUUGUAAUGCUAACAGAAUAGACCUUUUCGUUAUUAAUUUUUUCAUUAUCCUUUUUUCAUUAUUUGUUUUGUUCAUUAAACAUGCAAUUUUGUUUCGUUA